RNAcentral lists this non-coding RNA (29 nucleotides) under Rattus norvegicus (Norway rat). The record is from RNAcentral. Lineage: Eukaryota; Metazoa; Chordata; Mammalia; Rodentia; Muridae.
AACCUGGUAAUGCCAUUCCUACCCCUACC